This 431-nucleotide ribosomal RNA is filed under the name uncultured bacterium. RNAcentral's name for it is "bacterial SSU rRNA". It matches the Rfam family "Bacterial small subunit ribosomal RNA", at positions 8 to 418 of the family's 1533-position model. The record is from RNAcentral.
AGAGUUUGAUCCUGGCUCAGGACGAACGCUGGCGGCGUGCCUAACACAUGCAAGUCGAACGGAGAAUUCAAUAAGCUUGCUUAAAGAAUUCUUAGUGGCGGACGGGUGAGUAACGCGUGGGUAACCUACCCAUAAAGCCGGGACAACCCUUGGAAACGAGGGCUAAUACCGGAUAAUCUUAGGUGCUGGCAUCAGUAUUUAAGGAAAGAUGGCCUCUGAAGAUGCUAUCGAUUAUGGAUGGACCCGCGUCUGAUUAGCUAGUUGGUGGGGUAAAGGCCUACCAAGGCGACGAUCAGUAGCCGGCCUGAGAGGGUGAACGGCCACACUGGGACUGAGACACGGCCCAGACUCCUACGGGAGGCAGCAGUGGGGAAUCUUCCGCAAUGGACGAAAGUCUGACGGAGCAACGCCGCGUGUAUGAUGAAGGUCUU